GUCAAGAAAGGCUCUGUUCUCUUAACACGGAUGGAAAGUAUAACGUCAUACAAAAACCAACAUGGACAACCCAGAUCUGGAACUGCAGAACAAUCUGACACUCCAGUGUCUGCUAAUGACAUGUGUUUCCUUGCUGAAUGGCCAUCCCAUGCUCGCUGCAACCACGCGCUACUGCAGGAUGAAGCUGGUGGACAGAAGAAGAAAGGGCGAGGUGUUCUAAAGGGUUUUAAAGCAUCUAAGAAGCGUUUUGCCAAUGGAUCUGCAAAGCUAAAUAUUACAUUCUCUAAAAAAUUGGGUGGUACAGUAGGAAUGAACUAUCGUUCGUUCAAGGGUGACAUGGUAGUCAUAAUGAAAAGAAAGUUACCACUCAUUGGAGUGAGGACGUGGUCGGACAUUCACCCUACCAUUCAUCGACUCAUUGUUGCAGAUAUGAUAGACAGAUGGGACUUGGAAGAUACACCAGAAAUAGAAGAAAAAGUUCUCAAAAUUGCAAAAGAGAGAUGUAGAGGCUGGUGAUCAACUCUAAGCUCCACUUACAAGGCAUACAAAACAGAUGCAGCUAGAUUGGCUAAUCUGCCGGAAGAUUUACAACCAGAAGAGUGGGAAUGGAUGAUUGAGUACUUUGGCACUGAUUCAAAAUUUCAGGACCGCAGCCAAAAGAACGCCGAUAACCGUAAGAAACAGAAGACAAAACACAUAAUCAGAUCAAAAUCUUACUCGCAAGUUAGUUUUGAGAAGAGAAACUUGGAAACUGGAGAAGAGCCAGAUUGUAUUGCUCUAUGGGAACUCACCCACACAAACGAUGGAACAUGGUCUAACAUAGAUUCCUAGAAAGUUUACGACAAAGCACUUCAAGAGGUUAAAAACAAAGAAACUGAAACUGAAGGUCCACUUUCAAGUGAGCAGAAAAACAAUAUUUUCUAG
RNAcentral lists this ribosomal RNA (924 nucleotides) under Triticum aestivum (bread wheat). Its description in RNAcentral is "partial small subunit ribosomal RNA". The record is from RNAcentral. Lineage: Eukaryota; Viridiplantae; Streptophyta; Magnoliopsida; Poales; Poaceae.